Molecule: ribosomal RNA, 503 nt
Filed under: uncultured eukaryote
Lineage: Eukaryota
Description: bacterial SSU rRNA
Rfam family: Eukaryotic small subunit ribosomal RNA
Source: RNAcentral
ACUCGGCGUUCCGCGCCGCCGGAUAACCGUAGUAAUUCUAGGGCUAAUACGUGCGAAGCGCCCGAAGCCGCGAGGCGACGGGCGUUCUCGCCGGAUGUAGGAACCGACCCGGGGACCGCCGGGGCAACCCGGCGCCCCGAGACGGGGCGAACCACGGUGAAAUGACGGAUCGUCGGCCCCGCGCCGGCGACUCGCCGAAUGAGUUUCUGACCUAUCAACUCGAGACGGCGGGGUAGAGGCCCGCCGCGGUAACGACGGGUAACGGGGAAUCAGGGUUCGAUUCCGGAGAGGGAGCCCGAGAAACGGCUACCACUUCCAAGGAAGGCAGCAGGCGCGCAACUUACCCUAAUCUCGAUUCGAGGAGGUAGUGACAAGAAAUACCGAUGCGGGACCCUACGGGUGCCGCGUUCGGAAUGAGUACGAUUCGAACCACCUAACGAGGAACGAUCGGAGGGCAAGUCUGGUGCCAGCAGCCGCGGUAAUUCCAGCUCCAAUAGCGUACG